AGUGGGAUAGCUGGGUCAAAUGGUGGUUCUAUUCCAAAUUUUCUGAGAAAUCUCCAUACUGUUUUCCAGAGUAGUUACACCAAUUUGCAGUUCCACCAGCAAU
Molecule: microRNA precursor, 103 nt
Filed under: Marmota monax (woodchuck)
Lineage: Eukaryota; Metazoa; Chordata; Mammalia; Rodentia; Sciuridae
Source: RNAcentral